GUUUUUGCUAUUUGAUCGCUAGGACCAAUCCAGAGUUAGUGUUUUGGCAGAGGUUUAAAGAGUAAAAGAAAACAAAAUCAGGUUGCAUAUGCAUACAGUCUACAAUCUAAUAAGUACAGAAUUAAGCGACAUAUAAUUUCAGGAUAAUAAUGGAAGGAAAAGUAGCUAUAGUUACAGGCAGCAGCUCGGGAAUUGGUGAAGCAAUCGCCAUACAUCUAGCGUCCUUGGGAUACCGUCUGACAGUCACCGGCAGAAAUGCGGAGAAUCUGCUAGAAGUAGUGAACAAAUGCAAAGAACAAGGCUUAGCAGAUAAAGAGAUUCUGUCGAUGACUGGUGACGUGAACGAUGUAGAAUUCGUGAAGAAGAUGGUGAAUGAUACAAACAAAUACUUCAGUAAGGUAGAUCUUCUGGUUAACAACGCCGGAGUUGCACGUCUUAAGGAGUUGUCUGAUACCACAGUAGAGGACUACGAUCUUAUCAUGUCAACCAAUCUCAGAUCGGCAUUUUUUGCAUCACAGGCAGCCUUACCGUUUCUCAAAGAAUCAAAAGGUAGUGUAGUGAACGUGUCAUCCUGUGGAAGCUUAACACCUAAUAAAUAUUGCGUUUACAAUGUCAAAAGCUGGCAUGGAUCAACUGACUUUGAACACAGCAAAAGCUUUUGCCGAAUAUGGAAUCAGAGUAAACUCUGUAAACCCUGGAGUUAUAAUCACAAAUUUAUAUGAUGCCGACGGUUUUAAUCACGGUCAGGUGACGGAUUUUGCAAAUGGGAUGCACAUACUUCAAAAACGACCAAUUAAAUUAGACGAAGUUACAGCAGCAGUUGCAUUUCUGGCCUCCGAACAUGCAGCAAUGAUUACUGGUUGCAUUUUGCCGAUAGAUGGCGGUCACCAUCUGGGAAACUAGUUGUCAUGUGAUAGGAUUGGCGAAAUUAACACAAUUUUAUCGAAGACAACAAAGGCCUAGUGUAUUUGACAUGUAGUAUCAAAAUGCAACACAAGCCAUCACAAACCAUGCACAAAGUAUUAUUAUUAUUAUUAAAGUAGUACCAUGGUAGUACUACUAGUUGGCUACCAGUCAAGAAGAGAAUCAACUUCAAAACAAGGAAUUGACCAAUCCAGAGCCUAUGUGCUUUUGCAGAGGUUCAAAGAGUAAC
This 1153-nucleotide unclassified non-coding RNA is filed under the name Anneissia japonica. RNAcentral's name for it is "11-beta-hydroxysteroid dehydrogenase-like 2, transcript variant X1". The record is from RNAcentral. Lineage: Eukaryota; Metazoa; Echinodermata; Crinoidea; Comatulida; Comatulidae.